This 650-nucleotide ribosomal RNA is filed under the name uncultured bacterium. RNAcentral describes it as "bacterial SSU rRNA". It matches the Rfam family "Bacterial small subunit ribosomal RNA", at positions 8 to 657 of the family's 1533-position model. The record is from RNAcentral.
AGAGUUUGAUCCUGGCUCAGAUUGAACGCUGGCGGCAUGCCUUACACAUGCAAGUCGAACGGUAGAGGGGGCAACCCCUUGAGAGUGGCGAACGGGUGAGUAAUGCAUCGGAACGUGCCCAGUAGUGGGGGAUAGCCCGGCGAAAGCCGGAUUAAUACCGCAUACGACCUACGGGUGAAAGGGGGGGAUCGCAAGACCUCUCGCUAUUGGAGCGGCCGAUGUCAGAUUAGGUAGUUGGUGGGGUAAAGGCCUACCAAGCCGACGAUCUGUAGCUGGUCUGAGAGGACGACCAGCCACACUGGGACUGAGACACGGCCCAGACUCCUACGGGAGGCAGCAGUGGGGAAUUUUGGACAAUGGGCGCAAGCCUGAUCCAGCCAUGCCGCGUGCGGGAAGAAGGCCUUCGGGUUGUAAACCGCUUUUGUCAGGGAAGAAAUCCUUUGAGCUAAUACCUCGGGGGGAUGACGGUACCUGAAGAAUAAGCACCGGCUAACUACGUGCCAGCAGCCGCGGUAAUACGUAGGGUGCAAGCGUUAAUCGGAAUUACUGGGCGUAAAGCGUGCGCAGGCGGUUAUGUAAGACAGGUGUGAAAUCCCCGGGCUUAACCUGGGAACUGCACUUGUGACUGCAUAGCUUGAGUGCGGCAGAGG